Molecule: ribosomal RNA, 444 nt
Filed under: Trifolium ornithopodioides
Lineage: Eukaryota; Viridiplantae; Streptophyta; Magnoliopsida; Fabales; Fabaceae
Description: eukaryotic LSU rRNA
Rfam family: Eukaryotic large subunit ribosomal RNA (bases 304-444)
Source: RNAcentral
UGCAGAAUCCCGUGAACCAUCGAGUCUUUGAACGCAAGUUGCGCCCGAUGCCAUUAGGUUGAGGGCACGUCUGCCUGGGCGUCACAUAUCGAAGCCUCUUGCCAAUUUCCUAUUGAUAGGUAUUGUGCAGGGUGAAUGUUGGCCUCCCGUGAGCUCCAUUGCCUCAUGGUUGGUUGAAAAUCGAGACCUUGGUAGGGUGUGCCAUGAUAGAUGGUGGCUGUGUUACGCACGAGACCAAGUCAUGUGCCUGCUCUAUUGAAUUUAGUCUCUUUUACCCACAUGCGUUUCUAAACGCUCGUGAUGAGACCUCAGGUCAGGCGGGGCUACCCGCUGAAUUUAAGCAUAUCAAUAAGCGGAGGAAAAGAAACUAACAAGGAUUCCCUUAGUAACGGCGAGCGAACCGGGAUAAGCCCACCAUGAGAAUCGGUCGCCCUCGGCGUUCGA